CCUGCCUGUUGUCAUCAGUACAGGCUGGUGGUGAGAGGAGCAACUGUGAAGGUCCUCUAUAGGAUCCCAUAGAUGGUUGGUGUUUUGGGAAGGACAUGAAAAUACCAUCAGAAAUAAGUCAGAGGUUAUUGAGAGCUUUAUGUUUCAUUAGGUGUCACGUAAUACUUUUGGUAAACACAUACAAUAGCAUGAUUAAGAGCUAGAUUGAGUUGACCAGAGAAGCAGCUGGUCCUCUAUAGCAGGGGUGGGCAAUUCCAUUCCUCGAGGGCCUGAUUGGCGUCAGAGUUUUGCCCCAGCUAACACACCUGACUCCAAUAGUCACCUAAUCAUGAUCUUCAGUUUAGAAUGCAAUUUCAAAUUAAAUCAAAGUUUAUUUGUCACGUGCGUCGUAUACAACAGGUAUUUCACCUUACAGUGAAAUGCUUACUUACAGGCUCUAACCAAUAGUGCAAAAAAGGUAUUAGGUGAACAAUAGGUAAGUAAAGAAAUAAAAACAAUAAAAAGAGAGUGAAAAAUAACAGUAGCGAGGUUACAAGAGUAGCGAGGUUAAAUACAGUAGCGAGGUUACAAGAGUAGCGAGGCUAUAACAUUAGCGAGGAUAUAACAGUAGCGAGGCUACAACAGUAGCGAGGUUAAAUACAGUAGCGAGGUUAAAUACAUUAGCGAGGUUAAAUACAGUAGCGAGGGUAUAACAGUAGCGAGGUUAAAUACAGUAGCGAGGCUAUAUACAGUAGCGAGGCUAUAACAGUAGCGAGGUUACAAGAGUAGCGAGGCUAUAACAUUAGCGAGGAUAUAACAGUAGCGAGGCUACAACAGUAGCGAGGUUAAAUACAGUAGCGAGGUUAAAUACAUUAGCGAGGUUAAAUACAGUAGCGAGGCUAUAUACAGUAGCGAGGCUAUAACAGUAGCGAGGCUAUAACAGUAGCGAGGUUAAAUACAGUAGCGAGGUUAUAACAGUAGCGAGGUAUAACAGUAGCGAGGCGAUAACAGUAGCGAGGCUAUAACAGUAGCGAGGUUAAAUACAGUAGCAAGGGUAUAUACAGUAGCGAGGCUAUAACAGUAGCGAGGCUAUAACAGUAGCGAGGCUAUAACAGUAGCGAGGCUAUAACAGUAGCGAGGUUAAAUACAUUAGCGAGGUUAAAUACAUUAGCGAGGCUAUAACAGUAGCGAGGUAUAACAGUAGCAAGGCGAUAACAGUAGCGAGGCUAUAACAGUAGCGAGGUUAAAUACAGUAGCAAGGGUAUAUACAGUAGCGAGGCUAUAACAGUAGCGAGGCUAUAACAGUAGCGAGGCUAUAACAGUAGCGAGGCUAUAACAGUAGCGAG
Oncorhynchus keta (chum salmon) is the source of this 1325-nucleotide long non-coding RNA. RefSeq lists it as uncharacterized. The record is from RefSeq and is a predicted model, not a curated record. Lineage: Eukaryota; Metazoa; Chordata; Actinopteri; Salmoniformes; Salmonidae. The transcript has 3 exons.